This 226-nucleotide ribosomal RNA is filed under the name uncultured bacterium. Its description in RNAcentral is "partial 16S ribosomal RNA". It matches the Rfam family "Bacterial small subunit ribosomal RNA", at positions 32 to 236 of the family's 1533-position model. The record is from RNAcentral.
AAUCAACGCUGGCGGCGUGCCUCAGACAUGCAAGUCGAACGCGAAAGGCUCCUUCGGGGGCCGAGUAGAGUGGCGCACGGGUGAGUAACACGUAGGUAAUUUGCCUUUGGGUGGGGAAUAACUCAGGGAAACUUGAGCUAAUACCGCAUAAUGCAGCGGCUCGACAUCGAGACAGUUGUUAAAGCGGGGAUUCGCAAGAACCUCGCGCCUGAAGAGAAGCCUGCGG